UCCUGCUCCAAUGUAUGCUGAAAAAUCGCAAUAUGACAGCACUCACAAAACCAAAAUAAACUAGCAUAAUAAAUGCUGAUAUAACUAACACCAUUAAACACACAACACCUCUUAUCAUCCUUAGUGGGGUCAAAGCACGAUCCCUGGUUCCAUCAGCAGAGCCUACAGCCCCUCGAAUUUCCAUGUGCUCAUAAACCUGGCUACAACCUCCUCGUUAAAAGUAAAAUACUUCCCUCCUCAAAUCUCUCUGAACAAGAUUGUUAAGUCUCAUACAGACAUAGCUUGCCAAAGCUCCCAGUCAGUGCAAGGAUGCUACACAGUGGAGUGAAAUAUUAGCUCUAUGCACAAUCUCCAAGUCACGAAACACCUGGCAGAGACUCAUUGGGAUAAAAGAAACCAUUACUGAUCAAUAUGGCAACAAAUUGGCACAAUAUAUGCAUGUAAAGAAGCUAGCAAUAGAAAAGGACACAAUCCCACUGUGCUAAAUGAAAUCAGAAAUAGAACAUCUGCGGUAACAAAUUUAACAAACUAAAUAAAUAUACAUAGUAUGCUAGGAAAGACUGAUUACAAGCUAAAAGGUCCAUACACUGACUAGUUCAAUAGCUUGGAAAUGAAAAAAAUACAGAAACAACAGGCAUUAUGUUAAUGCUCUUAACAGCAAAGAUGUUUCAGUAACUUCAAACAAAACAUUUCUGAAUACAAAUUAGUUCACAUAGUUCUUUCCUACAGCGAUCCCACUGAAUUGCCAAAUUAACUAAUUUAAGUCUAAG
Molecule: unclassified non-coding RNA, 770 nt
Filed under: Hevea brasiliensis (rubber tree)
Lineage: Eukaryota; Viridiplantae; Streptophyta; Magnoliopsida; Malpighiales; Euphorbiaceae
Source: RNAcentral